ACUCUAACCUUACGAAAACCUCCUAAAUGAAGACAAUCACAAGUACUAGUGGCAAAAGAAACGUUAUAACAAAUAUUUAUUGUUUUAUAAACUAUAAUAAGAAAUAUGUUAUAUCAAUGGUACAUCUUUGAUCCCGCCGUGUGCUUAGAAAAUUAUACAAAUAUUUAUUUUGCUAUAAAGGAUUUAGCUUAACCAGAAGUAAAUAAAAAUGGUUCCUGAACAUGUACUGGCUGCGAUGCACCCAGCGAACCACAAGACCAUUUUCUUGCUGGACCAUACGCCUUACUUUGGAGGGAGCUGCGAGAGUGUCAUCGAGUUCGAUUUCACCAAGUCGAGAAGCCCCGGUCUGAUCCCUUUGGCUCCAAUCUCCAAAUCACUCUGGACUUGCAGCGUCGAAGCUGCCAUCGAGUACUGUCGGAUUGUCUGGGAUUUGUUUCCGACAGGCAAACUGAUACGCUUCAUCGUCAGUGACAACAAAGCAGAGAGCCUUAAUUCAUGGAGCCCUUCCCAGCAGAAUUUAACGCAUCUUUUAAACACCCUUGCAUCAGUAGGCGUACCACCUCCAGCAUCUGAAGACAGUGAGCAGCAUUCCAUAUUUCAUGGGUUAAAAAUGGCCGUGCAGGCCAUGUGUGAAUGUUCGGAACAGCAGCAUGAAAAAAGGACCUCUUUGGAUGAAAAUGUUAUACCUGUAGUAAACAGAGUGAGGAUAAUUUGUAUAACAUCAGUAGCAGACAAUGAAAGCAUUAGUAUUAUAGAAGAAAGACUGAGGCAGGAGAUUAUGGAAAGCAACAAAGUCGCUACAUCAUCAGAUUUAUUAAUUCCUAUAGAUCACUGCGAAUUUGUAAUAAUAAACAUCCAGCCAGAGCCGAUGAACAAUAUUCCAAUGCAUUCUGUUUCUUCAUCAAUUGUUAGUGAAACACAUCAUGUGAAAGCAUCCGGAGGGAUCGCAAAUAAACUAGCGUCUUUAAUUCUAAAACAUUAUGACCUGGCUAGCACCACUGUUACUGGAAUACCGAUGAAAGAGGAACAAAACGCCAGUUCUUCUGCAAAUUAUGAUGUCGAAAUAUUUCAUGUUGCUAAGGCUCAUGAUACUUUAUUCAAAGGAUGUGGAGUGGAUUUGAAGCAAAUCAGGACGUUGAAAGAAGGAAUGGAAUAUUCAACAGUUACAUUACGAUGGAGCACACCGAGAGGCUGCACUGCAUCAGAAAUGCACAAUUGCACGUCAACCCACCGCAUCACACCCGUCGACGUUAACAGCCGGCCCUCAUCCUGUUUGAUAAACUUCCUCGUCGGUGGGCGAUCAGUCAUGCUUGAAGUCGUCAGGGCCGGUGGUUCAAAAGCGCUUUCACAUUUGCUCGCAGCCCAUGCAGGUCAGAUUUACAUGCACACGCUGGCAUUUGGUAGAACGCUACAUGAUGACCCGCCUUCAAUCAGUGAGGGUAUAGGUGGGCGAGUAACCGAUUAUAGAAUAACGGAUUUUGGAGUGUUUAUGCAACAGAACAAGUUGCUACCUAUGAAACCAGGCAAAGGAGUGGGAACAACAUUAAAACGCACUCGCUCCCGGCUUGAGAGGCACACAAAAUUCUGGCCUAUGACUAUUUCUUCUACUGUCAUAUUCAAUUACAGACCACAUUUAGAACCAAUAUUGACUCUUAUGCUACAACCUGAACUUCGGGAAGCAGAUGUCGCCCAGUGUAAGCAGUGUAUAUAUUCACUGAUUGGAAACGAAGCUAAACACGAGCCGUUGCACAUAGCACCUUCUGGUCAGCGAGCAAAAGGAUCAAAAACUAUAAACAACUUUGGUCGGAGUUGGAGGCAUUCCUUCGUGCCCACUGUGUGACGGACAAGCAUAUAAAUAUUUUAAAUUGCCUUCUUGAGGUGAGGAAUAAGGACAAAGCAGUAGAGGGUACAGAAAAAAUCGACAUGGAUCUUGCUCUCAAGGAAUUAGACCAUAUAUCUAAAAGUUUAGAAAGAGCAAGUGUGAUAAGGGCGACGACAGAUUCGCCAAUGUCCCCUGAUGCUGUGGUUCCAAAUGUACAUAGUAAGUCAAUUUUAGAACUGUGGAUAACCAAGUUCUGCCGACAGAAGCCACGACCAGACUUUGCCGGUUUGGCCACAGCCCAGCCGAUAGGCAAUGGGAGGCUGAGGGCAAAGCUUUACGCCCACAUGAAAGAGAGGACCAAGUCUGGAAACAAGGGCCC
RNAcentral lists this unclassified non-coding RNA (2201 nucleotides) under Cimex lectularius (bed bug). RNAcentral's name for it is "integrator complex subunit 13, transcript variant X1". Lineage: Eukaryota; Metazoa; Arthropoda; Insecta; Hemiptera; Cimicidae. The record is from RNAcentral.